AUUGAACGCUGGCGGCAUGCCUUACACAUGCAAGUCGAACGGCAGCGGACCUUCGGGUGCCGGCGAGUGGCGAACGGGUGAGUAAUAUAUCGGAACGUACCUUUCAGUGGGGAUAACGUAGCGAAGUUACGCUAAUACCGCAUAUUCGUGUGAGGCAGGAAAGCAGGGGAUCGCAAGACCUUGCGCUGAUUGAGCGGCCGAUAUCAGAUUAGCUAGUUGGUGAGGUAAAGGCUCACCAAGGCGACGAUCUGUAGCGGGUCUGAGAGGAUGGAUCCGCCACACUGGAACUGAGACACGGUCCAGACUCCUACGGGAGGCAGCAGUGGGGAAUUUUGGACAAUGGGCGCAAGCCUGAUCCAGCCAUGCCGCGUGAGUGAAGAA
This 381-nucleotide ribosomal RNA is filed under the name uncultured bacterium. RNAcentral's name for it is "bacterial SSU rRNA". It matches the Rfam family "Bacterial small subunit ribosomal RNA", at positions 30 to 412 of the family's 1533-position model. The record is from RNAcentral.